UAAGACGAACCGAGCGAACGUUGUUCGGAAUCACUGGGCUUAAAGGGCGCGUAGGCGGGUUCUCAAGUCCGGGGUGAAAUCCCACAGCUCAACUGUGGAACUGCCUUGGAUACUGGGGGCCUCGAGGGUGGUAGGGGUAUGCGGAACUAUCGGUGGAGCGGUGAAAUGCGUUGAUAUCGAUAGGAACUCCGGUGGCGAAGGCGGCAUACUGGACCACAUCUGACGCUGAGGCGCGAAAGCCAGGGGAGCGAACGGGAUUAGAUACCCCGGUAGUCCUGGCCCUAAACGAUGGGUACUAGCUAGUAGGGUUCACAUGGCUUUACUGGCGAAGCAAAAGUGCUAAGUACCCCGCCUGGGGAGUAUGGUCGCAAGGCUG
RNAcentral lists this ribosomal RNA (376 nucleotides) under uncultured bacterium. RNAcentral describes it as "bacterial SSU rRNA". It matches the Rfam family "Bacterial small subunit ribosomal RNA", at positions 521 to 896 of the family's 1533-position model. The record is from RNAcentral.